Molecule: long non-coding RNA, 581 nt
Filed under: Phoenix dactylifera (date palm)
Lineage: Eukaryota; Viridiplantae; Streptophyta; Magnoliopsida; Arecales; Arecaceae
Description: long non-coding RNA (PDAC_LNC008833)
Source: RNAcentral
UGCAAUAUCACCCUGCACAUUUUUCUUCUACAUGCUAGCUUCAUUCCUAAUCCACAUAUAGGUUCAGACCUCAAAGAAUAUUCCAAUCAAGCACUGUAAAAAGGUUUCAUAGCCCAAAUCUUAAACAACUUCAUAUAAAUGGAUCUUAAUUUGCCUCUAAAAAAAAAUUAUCUUCAAAAUUAAGCAAUAUCAUAGUAUACCUCCAUAUUAAUUUUUGAGUUUACGAGUUCACUUAAAUAAUAAAUAAUCACAAUGCAUGAUAAUAUUCCAUGGCCAAUCCUUUUGCACUUAAUUUAGAUCCAAAUCUAACUAAUUAUAACUUGAUUCAUAGAUUGCCCAACCUUCCAUAAUGUAUCAAACCUCAUAAGUAAAUUCAAUCAUAAUUUCCUAGUAACCUUCUCAUACAUAAUCUAUCACAAGGCUUAAUAGAAAAUCUUGAAAGUAGCUUACAAUGCAAUCGACAUAGAUUCACGUCCAAUGCCCUUAGUGUUUACCCACCUACACUCAUCUUAUGUCAGAUUCUUUGUCUUAGAUUUUUUCGACUUAUGCUCUAAUACCAUAAAAGUUGUCACGCCCCCAUC